RNAcentral lists this ribosomal RNA (494 nucleotides) under Salmonella enterica. RNAcentral describes it as "bacterial SSU rRNA". It matches the Rfam family "Bacterial small subunit ribosomal RNA", at positions 1 to 484 of the family's 1533-position model. The record is from RNAcentral. Lineage: Bacteria; Pseudomonadati; Pseudomonadota; Gammaproteobacteria; Enterobacterales; Enterobacteriaceae.
AAAUUGAAGAGUUUGAUCAUGGCUCAGAUUGAACGCUGGCGGCAGGCCUAACACAUGCAAGUCGAACGGUAACAGGAAGCAGCUUGCUGCUUUGCUGACGAGUGGCGGACGGGUGAGUAAUGUCUGGGAAACUGCCUGAUGGAGGGGGAUAACUACUGGAAACGGUGGCUAAUACCGCAUAAUGUCGCAAGACCAAAGAGGGGGACCUUCGGGCCUCUUGCCAUCAGAUGUGCCCAGAUGGGAUUAGCUUGUUGGUGAGGUAACGGCUCACCAAGGCGACGAUCCCUAGCUGGUCUGAGAGGAUGACCAGCCACACUGGAACUGAGACACGGUCCAGACUCCUACGGGAGGCAGCAGUGGGGAAUAUUGCACAAUGGGCGCAAGCCUGAUGCAGCCAUGCCGCGUGUAUGAAGAAGGCCUUCGGGUUGUAAAGUACUUUCAGCGGGGAGGAAGGUGUUGUGGUUAAUAACCGCAGCAAUUGACGUUACCCGCAG